GAUGAACGCUGGCGGCGUGCCUAAUACAUGCAAGUCGAGCGAACAGAUGAGGAGCUUGCUCCUCUGACGUUAGCGGCGGACGGGUGAGUAACACGUGGAUAACCUACCUAUAAGACUGGGAUAACUUCGGGAAACCGGAGCUAAUACCGGAUAAUAUAUUGAACCGCAUGGUUCAAUAGUGAAAGGCGGUUUUGCUGUCACUUAUAGAUGGAUCCGCGCCGCAUUAGCUAGUUGGUAAGGUAACGGCUUACCAAGGCAACGAUGCGUAGCCGACCUGAGAGGGUGAUCGGCCACACUGGAACUGAGACACGGUCCAGACUCCUACGGGAGGCAGCAGUAGGGAAUCUUCCGCAAUGGGCGAAAGCCUGACGGAGCAACGCCGCGUGAGUGAUGAAGGUCUUCGGAUCGUAAAACUCUGUUAUUAGGGAAGAACAAAUGUGUAAGUAACUAUGCACGUCUUGACGGUACCUAAUCAGAAAGCCACGGCUAACUACGU
Molecule: ribosomal RNA, 496 nt
Filed under: uncultured bacterium
Lineage: Bacteria
Description: partial 16S ribosomal RNA
Rfam family: Bacterial small subunit ribosomal RNA
Source: RNAcentral